This 77-nucleotide transfer RNA is filed under the name Mycoplasmataceae bacterium RV_VA103A. RNAcentral describes it as "tRNA-Met". It matches the Rfam family "tRNA". Rfam says of the family: Transfer RNA (tRNA) molecules are approximately 80 nucleotides in length. Their secondary structure includes four short double-helical elements and three loops (D, anti-codon, and T loops). Further hydrogen bonds mediate the characteristic L-shaped molecular structure. tRNAs have two regions of fundamental functional importance: the anti-codon, which is responsible for specific mRNA codon recognition, and the 3' end, to which the tRNAs corresponding amino acid is attached (by aminoacyl-tRNA synthetases). tRNAs cope with the degeneracy of the genetic code in two manners: having more than one tRNA (with a specific anti-codon) for a particular amino acid; and 'wobble' base-pairing, i.e. permitting non-standard base-pairing at the 3rd anti-codon position. Lineage: Bacteria; Bacillati; Mycoplasmatota; Mollicutes; Mycoplasmatales; Mycoplasmataceae. The record is from RNAcentral.
GGAUCCUUAGCUCAACUGGUUAGAGCACCCGGCUCAUAACCGGGCGGUUGGAGGUUCAAGUCCUUCAGGAUCCACCA